AAAAGCACUUUGAAAAGAGAGUGCAAGAGAACGUGAAACCGUUAUAGUGGAAGCGGAUGGAGCCGACGUAUCCGGUACGUAUUCAGCCCAAGGCGGGUGCGGUCCAUCCUAUGGGAGUUGCUGCAAAGUGCUCGGUAGGUGGUGGCUGUGCUCGUCGGGGGUGCACUUGCGUACAGAGUGCGCCGAGUCGGUCGAGCACGUUGCGAGAAAGUCGAAAAGAGGACCAGCCCCCUCGCGGGACUGGAAACCUGGUCGGCCGGAUGGCAAAUGGGCUUGAUCAGCGCAGAAGAGCUGUGUGGAACUGGUGAACUCGUGAAGGGCUGGCCGUGUUCGGGUUGCUCGGGUGCGACACAUGUGUUUCGCCUUUGCAGCCCGGGCAUGGCUGGUUUUUUGCUCUGUUCCAACUCGGUGUUUAGUCGGUCACCCAUUUGACCCGUCUUGAAACACGGACCAAGGAGUUUAAGGUAUGCGCAAGUCAUUGAAUGUAGUCGAAAUUCAAAGGCGGAAUGAAAGUGGGACACCCAGUGUCUGUGAUGCGACUUUGCGGCGACUCGUCGACGUGAAAGCAGCAUCGACCCAUGACUGGAACCUGGUUCUGUUGUGGAGUCUGAGCGUAUGCUUUGAGACCCGAAAGAUGGUGAACUAUGCCUGAACAGGACGAAGUCAGAGGAAACUCUGAUGGAAGUCCGAAGCGGUUCUGACGUGCAAAUCGAUCGUCUGAUUUGGGUAUAGGGGCGCAAGACUAAUCGAACCAUCUAGUAGCUGGUUCCUUCCGAAGUUUCCCUCAGGAUAGCUGGAACACAUCGAAGCAGAUAUACUCGGUAAAGCGAACGAUUAGAGUCAUUGGGAUGUAUUAUUCUCAAACUAUUCUCAAACUCUAAAUGGUUAUGUUGUCGGUGUUACUUGCAUUGAACACGCGGCUUUGAUUGCUGUGCUCCAAGUGGGCCAUUUUUGGUAAGCAGAACUGGCGAUGUGGGAUGAACCAAACGUGGAGUUAAGGUGCCAGACUCGCCGCUCAUGAGACCCCAUAAAAGGUGUUGGUUGAUAUUGACAGCAGGACGGUGGCCAUGGAAGUCGGAAACCGCUAAGGAGUGUGUAACAACUCACCUGCCGAAUCAACUAGCCCUGAAAAUGGAUGGCGCUAGAGCGGAGGACCUAUACUCCACCCUUGUUGCUGGCAACAGCUCAAGGAGUAGGAAGGUUGUUGUGAUGGCGUGAAGGCGCGGACCAUGAGUCGGCUGAGCCGCGCGA
This 1251-nucleotide ribosomal RNA is filed under the name Aphelenchoides xylocopae. RNAcentral's name for it is "eukaryotic LSU rRNA". It matches the Rfam family "Eukaryotic large subunit ribosomal RNA", at positions 367 to 1441 of the family's 3401-position model. The record is from RNAcentral. Lineage: Eukaryota; Metazoa; Nematoda; Chromadorea; Rhabditida; Aphelenchoididae.